This 253-nucleotide ribosomal RNA is filed under the name uncultured bacterium. RNAcentral's name for it is "partial 16S ribosomal RNA". It matches the Rfam family "Bacterial small subunit ribosomal RNA", at positions 524 to 776 of the family's 1533-position model. The record is from RNAcentral.
UACGUAGGUCGCAAGCGUUGUCCGGAUUUACUGGGCGUAAAGCGCGCGCAGGCGGCUGGUCAAGUCCGAUGUGAAAUCUCCCGGCUCAACUGGGAAACUGCAUUGGAAACUGAUCGGCUUGAAGGUGGGAGAGGGUAGUGGAAUUCCCGGUGUAGUGGUGAAAUGCGUUGAGAUCGGAAGGAACGCCCGUGGCGAAGGCACUCUACUGGGCCAUUACUGACACUAAGAGACGAAAGCUAGGGGAGCAAAUGGG